UACGUAGGGGGCAAGCGUUGUCCGGAUUUAUUGGGCGUAAAGAGCGUGUAGGCGGCCUGAAAGGUCAGCUGUGAAAACUCGAGGCUCAACCUCGAGACGUCGGUUGAAACCAUCUGGCUAGAGUCCGGAAGAGGAGUGUGGAAUUCCCGGUGUAGCGGUGAAAUGCGCAGAUAUCGGGAAGAACACCCGUGGCGAAGGCGGCACUCUGGGACGGUACUGACGCUGAGACGCGAAAGCGCGGGGAGCGAACAGG
Molecule: ribosomal RNA, 253 nt
Filed under: uncultured bacterium
Lineage: Bacteria
Description: partial 16S ribosomal RNA
Rfam family: Bacterial small subunit ribosomal RNA
Source: RNAcentral